Molecule: long non-coding RNA, 1228 nt
Filed under: Capsicum annuum
Lineage: Eukaryota; Viridiplantae; Streptophyta; Magnoliopsida; Solanales; Solanaceae
Description: long non-coding RNA (CANN_LNC021707)
Source: RNAcentral
UUAUUUUUACUUUAUAAAGAUAGAGGGAUUGUUUACGAUGCUGUAACUCACACCACAUGAAAACAAACCAAAAAAAAAUAAAAAAUAGUGCGUAUAUAACCUUAUUUUUACUUUAUAAAGAUAGAGAGAUCAUUUACGAUGCCGUAACUGACACCACAUGAAAACAAACCAAAAAAAAAAAAAUGUACCCAUGGCAAGUCAAGUUAGAAUUCUCUUCUUACCACUCAUGUACACACUUGCUACAUUUUAAAUUGUAUAUUUGGUUUCUUCUUACUCUUCCACCAAACUCUUUUCAUUUUUAUAGUGACAUAAGCUACUCUUCUCCUUCUUUUUUAUCUUCUCCAUUUUUUGGCACCCAAGGUUUCAUUUCAUUACUUUCUUGAAAAAAAAAUAAAAUGAGGACACCCCCACCCCCACCCCAACCCCUACCCCAACCUCAACAUUCUCAAUUCAUUUUCUAUGUUUUAACUUUCCUCUUGUUGAUUUCAUUCAACAAACAUUUUUCUCAAGUUAUGGCUAAAGACCAACUUUCUUGCACAAUGUGUUCUUCUUGUGACAACCCCACCCCCGCCACCAGAUACUGGUGGCGGGGGUGGUGGGAAUGGUGGCGGAAACUAUCCGCCACCAAAUAAUACUGGUGGUAGUGGUGGCGGGAAUGGUGGCGGAAACUAUCCGCCACCAAAUAACAACCCUUAUGGUUACAUAACUCCACCACCUCCAAAUCCCAUUGUACCAUAUUUCCCUUUCUAUUUUCAUAGCCCACCACCACCUACCUCCAAAUCUAUUCAGUUAAAAGAACACUCUUUUGUCAUUUUUGUUCUUGUUGUAUUAGUUGUUGUAUAAUUUCUUUAUAUGAUAUUGCAGUUUAUAUUUUUCAGGUUCAUUACAAUGUGCAGAAGAACAAGAAGUAGUGGAGUAGUAAUAAUUGUGAGGGUGUCAAUUAUUUUCCAUAAAAAGAAUGGAUCUUGAUUGAUGAAAAAGUUGUUACUUACUAUUACUACUUUUGUUUUUUAACUUUUGUUGAUGAAACAAUAAAGUGGUUGUAAGAAUUAUGUUAUUAGUGAUGCACAUUUUCAUUGUUGUACUUGUAUACAUGUAUUCACUCACCUUGUGUACUACAAUGAAUUUAAGGAUGGAGUAACUUUCUAUAUUUUAUUGCAUUAUAUUGUUUCGAUCAGCUUGAAUGCAUUUCGGCUAAUUUAUAAAGUACGUGCAAAAAUCAAACCGA